This 435-nucleotide ribosomal RNA is filed under the name uncultured bacterium. RNAcentral describes it as "partial 16S ribosomal RNA". It matches the Rfam family "Bacterial small subunit ribosomal RNA", at positions 28 to 507 of the family's 1533-position model. The record is from RNAcentral.
GAUGAACGCUGGCGGUAUGCUUAACGCAUGCAAGACGAACGGACUCUUCGGAGUUAGUGGCGGACGGGUGAGUAACGCGUGAGAAUCUGGCUUUGGGUUCGGGACAACCACUGGAAACGGUGGCUAAUACCGGAUGUGCCGAGAGGUAAAAGAGAAAUUGCCUGAAGAUGAGCUCGCGUCUGAUUAGCUAGUUGGUGAGGUAAAGGCUCACCAAGGCAGCGAUCAGUAGCUGGUCUGAGAGGAUGACCAGCCACACUGGGACUGAGACACGGCCCAGACUCCUACGGGAGGCAGCAGUGGGGAAUUUUCCGCAAUGGGCGAAAGCCUGACGGAGCAGUACCGCGUGAGGGAAGAAGGCUCUUGGGUUGUAAACCUCUUUUCUUAGGGAAGAACAAAAUGACGGUACCUAAGGAAUCAGCAUCGGCUAACUCCGUG